UACGUAGGGUGCAAGCGUUAAUCGGAAUUACUGGGCGUAAAGCGUGCGCAGGCGGUUUUGUAAGACUGUCGUGAAAUCCCCGGGCUUAACCUGGGAAUUGCGAUGGUGACUGCAAGGCUAGAGUUUGGCAGAGGGGGGUAGAAUUCCACGUGUAGCAGUGAAAUGCGUAGAGAUGUGGAGGAACACCGAUGGCGAAGGCAGCCCCCUGGGUCAAGACUGACGCUCAUGCACGAAAGCGUGGGGAGCAAACAGG
This 253-nucleotide ribosomal RNA is filed under the name uncultured bacterium. Its description in RNAcentral is "partial 16S ribosomal RNA". It matches the Rfam family "Bacterial small subunit ribosomal RNA", at positions 524 to 776 of the family's 1533-position model. The record is from RNAcentral.